CACACACAUAGGCACAUACAAACACACUGAUAUACACUGGCACAUACAUACAUACACACAUACACAAACCUUGACACACACUCACAUAUACUCUUUGACAGACACACAUACAAACACAUACACUCUCACUGACAAGCACACAUACAUUCUCACUGACAAACACACACACACUCAUACACUCACUGACAAGCACACAUACACUCUCACUGGCA
Pelobates cultripes (western spadefoot toad) is the source of this 212-nucleotide non-coding RNA. The record is from the annotation of a GenBank genome assembly. NCBI's taxonomy places the organism in Eukaryota, Metazoa, Chordata, Amphibia, Anura, Pelobatidae.